Molecule: long non-coding RNA, 573 nt
Filed under: Pollicipes pollicipes
Lineage: Eukaryota; Metazoa; Arthropoda; Thecostraca; Pollicipedomorpha; Pollicipedidae
Description: uncharacterized LOC119095965, transcript variant X2
Source: RNAcentral
AGCGCGACGGUGACAUUGCGGUGUGUGGCCUCUAGGACAAGAAGACUGGGCUUACGUUGGAUGUAAGUUAUUGUCGUCCGGCAAGAUUUUGAAAAGUGAUGUGAUAGCCACUGAACCUUGAAGCAAUUGAAGACCAGAAAGCCUUAGUGCGAUCGGCUGGAUUCAGAUGGCCUAUAUGUAUACCAUUGGAAGAGUUAAUGAAGAACCUCCUCCGGAAAGUUUACUGCAACAAAGAUUGCUUCCCGAGAGCGACACUCGUUAAGGAUGUGAGUAUUUGAAGUUCCGCUUUCAAGCAUUGGACGGCCUGCAAAUUACCAUUGCAGCCAAAUUGUAUGCAUUUUCUAGAUGAUCUUAAAUACGGAGCGGUAUUCUGAAGAUGUAGUUGUGCAUAGUGUGUAGUUCGUGGAUUGCGAAACAACGGAGCGAGAAUGCAGUUGGCGUUCCGUUUUGGGUCAGUUAUGUUUUCCUUUUUCCAUGUUUUAAAGUCGCUGUGCUUUAUGCUCAGGAUCGAAGCAAAAUGUACAAUAGUAGGCUGCGAUGUGAUGCGUGUUGUAUAAAACCAAUAAACCAAAA